UACAACUCCCCAAACUCCAAUUUUUUAAGAGACCCAACAGCAAAACCCAUCAAUUCCAAAUUAUCACGGCCAAUUACAAAAGCUUCAGCAGCCCGCAAAAAGAUACCCAUACAACGUAUAACAGUUCCAAAAUAGCCCACGAAGAAGUCGACCUGACCCGACUCAUCCCUCCUCUUCUUCACAAGAAGAAACCGUGAAGCGUACAACAACGGUACACGUCUUAACAGCAUCAAAACACAACAACAAUAGUGCGCGUGAAUAGCAAAAAAAGUCCUAAACGUGCCUCACCACUUCUCACGCCAUAAACGACAAGUCACGUGGCGUCAAAAUAGACGGAAAGGGGCAGCGACACAGGAAGUACACUUCUUUGUGUUGUCGUCUUCUUCCCUUUCAUGGACAUCCAGUACGUCUAGUGCUGUACCAGUUGCAAUUUGUCUCGCUUUAGCUGCGUUUCAGCCCUUGUAGCAACAAGAUCAAGACACGUCAAGCAGCGAGUACGUUCGAUCAAUCCGGAGCAUCAGUCUCAAUUCUAUCCGUUCAAAAUUUGAGGGAAUCCCUUGGAAUAUUCCUUAGUUUUUGAUAGAACACCAAAUUUUGUGGGCCUAGAAUUCAAUUUUAAUCUUUUUUCCCUCUUUUAUGCCCUAAUUUUAUUCUAUGUAAACUUUCUCUUCCCUAUUGUUAAAAAAAAGAAUUGAUCGUUCUUCAUUAAGGGAGAGAUUUUUUUAGUUGUUAAAAGUUAGAAGAAAAGUGAGAGAUUUUUAACUAAGGCAGAGGGGAUAGUUCAAGCAGUUAGUAAUAAAAUAUGUAUAAAAAUACUUACGAGAAAGGGUAAACUAGGGCUUUUCGUUUGGCUGUCCUAUUCGUGAUUUUGUGGUGGAACUCGCCGUCAUUCCCCUGCUCGUUCUUGUCUUCGUCGCUGCUCCAAAGAAGGUACUCAAAACUUGUCUGUGUCGAUAAACUUUGUGAUCAUCCCUAUUUCACAAGAUCUAAAGGCCCUACAGAUUCCUUUUCUAGCAAAAGUUCACGUAAUGGAAAAACAACAAUAGGUAAUAACAAUGAAGAAAUCAAACUUAGUGAUGAUGUGGUGACUCGAUCUGCCAUCGCCUAUCAAAAUGAACUGAUCAUGCAGAUGAUGCAACAGAAUGCCGAUAUGAGGGUUGAGAUGCAGAGGAGGCAAUAUCUGCCUCAACCAAUUUGUAUUGCCAAUGUUGCGGCAUAUGGAAGGGCUCCUCUUUACUUUCCUUCUUGAAACAUGGAACAGACUUAAUACCCACCUUCCUAUCUAAUCACCCAGAAUCCUCAAUAUGCCUCCGUCUCCUAUCUAACUGAACAACCUCCUAAAAAUACCAACCCUCAAAUGCCACCUCCCCCUAAAAAUGUGAACCCACCAAACCGAUCCACCCCAACAAAACAAAAACACAUACAACCCCCAAAUGUCCAUCCAUCAAGAAAAUUCAACACACUAAGCCCCAAAUAAUCCCACAAAACCACCAAACCACACAAAAAUCUCCAAGUCCUUCCUUCGCUCUACCUCUACAUCAAAAAACAACCUUCUGAAUUCUCAUCAUCAAUGAGCAUGACACUAAUGGUACUGAGCUCGAUAACUAUGAACAGUAGAAAAUAUAGUGGAGGUUGAAGAAAGAGGAAACAAAGUUUGAUAUAAAGGAAGAGAUUUGGAAGGCAAUGAAAGAGAUACAGUGUAUUUCUGAGGUCACCGACUUAAGUUAAGAGAAUUUCUACGUUCACCCAAAUUCGACCCCGCCAAGAGGGAUUCAAGGUCCAAAAGUUUGAUGUUUUUGGACGAACAGGGAACCCCUUAGCGCACCUUAGGGCCUACUGUGACUAGCUCGUGGGAGUUGGGAUAUACGAAGAUGUAUUGAUGGGACUCUUUGGAUGAAGUCUUUGCAGAGAGGAUCUAGAGUGGUUUACAUCUCAUGAAACAAGACAGUGCCUAACUGGAAUGCCCUGACUAAGAAUUUUAUCGAACAAUUCUCUUAUUACAUGGUGAUUGUUCCCGAUCGUUAUUCCUUGGAAGAUAUGAAAUAUAAAUCCAAUGAAAGCUAUAGAGAGUUUGCAUAUAUAUGGCAAAAGGAGGCAACCAGAGUUCAACCUCCCUUGCCUGAGAAGGAAAUCGUUGAAGUAUUUGUGUGGGUUCAGUAAUAUGAUAGAAUCAUGUUUCUUGUUGGAGAAAAGUUUGUUGAAAUAGUAAAAGUAGGUGAGACUAUCGAUGAAGGAUUGAAAACCGGGAAGAUUGCUCGGGUUGUUCCCUUGCCUUGAACCUCGAGUUUGUUGAAAAAGAAAAGAGAAUAGGUGUUCUUUA
Molecule: long non-coding RNA, 2320 nt
Organism: Solanum pennellii
Lineage: Eukaryota; Viridiplantae; Streptophyta; Magnoliopsida; Solanales; Solanaceae
Exons: 2
Source: RefSeq, a predicted model, not a curated record